UCGGGAUGCGAGCCAUAAGUCGGAACACUGUCAACGACUCUCCAGAAUACCUGAAAGAGCUCAAAACACAGACCAAACACUUGAACCUCGCAAUUUGCAAAGGUCCAGUGUGUUACACUUAUCCCAAUCUAAUCUGAACAUUAAAAGAAAAAAAUUGAAAAAAAACACCAACAACGAAUGAAAAUAUAAAGAGAAAAUAAACAGAAAUUGUUGUUUAACGAGAAGGGGAAAGCAAAGAGGAGAUCAAACCGUGUGGCUUUGGAAUUUUCGAUUCAAUGAAGCUGAUAGGGAGAGAAAGAUAUGAUUGAUAGAGAGAUAGAGAUGGAGACCAGUCGGUGAAAAAAAAACUAGAGAGGGUUUCAGGAAAUAAUUUUU
Molecule: long non-coding RNA, 375 nt
Filed under: Ananas comosus (pineapple)
Lineage: Eukaryota; Viridiplantae; Streptophyta; Magnoliopsida; Poales; Bromeliaceae
Description: long non-coding RNA (ACOM_LNC019812)
Source: RNAcentral